GAGACCUCAGGUCAGGCGGGACUACCCGCUGAAUUUAAGCAUAUCA
RNAcentral lists this ribosomal RNA (46 nucleotides) under Medicago monspeliaca. RNAcentral's name for it is "partial large subunit ribosomal RNA". Lineage: Eukaryota; Viridiplantae; Streptophyta; Magnoliopsida; Fabales; Fabaceae. The record is from RNAcentral.